AUUGAACGCUGGCGGCAUGCUUUACACAUGCAAGUCGAGCGGUAACAGGCCUUCGGGUGCUGACGAGUGGCGAACGGGUGAGUAAUGCAUCGGAACGUACCCAGAGGUGGGGGAUAACGCAGCGAAAGCUGUGCUAAUACCGCAUGUGAUCUGAGGAUGAAAGCGGGGGACCGAGCAGCAAUGUUUGGCCUCGCGCCUUUGGAGCGGCCGAUGUCGGAUUAGCUAGUUGGUGGGGUAAAGGCCUACCAAGGCGACGAUCCGUAGCUGGUCUGAGAGGACGACCAGCCACACCGGGACUGAGACACGGCCCAGACUCCUACGGGAGGCAGCAGUGGGGAAUGUUGGACAAUGGGCGCAAGCCUGAUCCAGCAAUGCCGCGUGCGGGAAGAAGGCCUUCGGGUUGUAAACCGCUUUUGGCAGGAACGAAACGGUGUCCGCUAAUACCGGGCGCUAAUGACGGUACCUGCAGAAUAAGCACCGGCUAACUACGUG
This 492-nucleotide ribosomal RNA is filed under the name uncultured bacterium. Its description in RNAcentral is "partial 16S ribosomal RNA". It matches the Rfam family "Bacterial small subunit ribosomal RNA", at positions 29 to 507 of the family's 1533-position model. The record is from RNAcentral.